This 775-nucleotide ribosomal RNA is filed under the name human gut metagenome. RNAcentral describes it as "bacterial SSU rRNA". It matches the Rfam family "Bacterial small subunit ribosomal RNA", at positions 379 to 1160 of the family's 1533-position model. The record is from RNAcentral.
AACCCUGACCGAGCAACGCCGCGUGAAUGAUGAAGGUCUUCGGAUUGUAAAAUUCUGUGGUAAGAGAAGAAAGAUAUAAAGAGGAAAUGCUUUGUAUUUGACGGUAUCUUGCUAGAAAGCCACGGCUAACUACGUGCCAGCAGCCGCGGUAAUACGUAGGUGGCAAGCGUUAUCCGGAAUUACUGGGCGUAAAGAGUGAGCAGGCGGUUAGAUAAGUCUAUGGUUAAAUGCAACAGCUCAACUGUUGUUCGCUAUAGAAACUAUUUAACUAGAGUGCGGGAGAGGUAAGUGGAACUCCAUAUGUAGCGGUGGAAUGCUUAGAUAUAUGGAAGAACACCAGAGGCGAAGGCGGCUUACCAGUCCGUAACUGACGCUCAGUCACGAAAGCGUGGGGAGCAAAUAGGAUUAGAUAUCCUAGUAGUCCACGCCGUAAACGAUGAGAACCUGAUGCAGGAGAUAUUCUGUGUCGAAGCUAACGCGUUAAGUUCUCCGCCUGGGUACUACGUUCGCAAGAAUAAAACUUAAAGGAAUUGACGGGCGCCCGCACAAGCAGUGGAGCAUGGGGUUUAAUUCGUCGAUACACGAAAAACCUUACCAGGGCUUGACAUCCCGCUAAAAGCCUUAGAAAUAAGGAAAUAGUUAUAGCGGUGACAGGUGGUGCAUGGUUGUCGUCAGCUCGUGCCGUGAGGUGUUAGGUUAAGUCCUCAAACGAGCGCAACCCUUGUCUUUAGUUGCCAUUAUUAAUUUAGGAACUCUAGAGAGACUGCCGGCGCAA